AUCUAUUGAUAGAGAGAUACAACAGUGUAACAAGCAGGGAUGCCCAGUGUAUGGUACUUGGACGUCCCUUCAAGAGUUUCAGGAUUGGAGCCAGUGUAGCGUACAUGUAACAUGCGGUGGGGGAACACAGCGACGCGUGAAAAUAAGAACAUGCAUUACGUCCAAAAUUGAGAAUGAAAAAGAAAUGUGUAAUGGAUCAGCAAUGGAACAAGAAACCCAGUCAUGUACAUUAGGUCAAUGCCCUUCAGAUGGAAUUGGUACAAUGAACAUACUAACCUCUACUGG
Saccostrea echinata is the source of this 285-nucleotide long non-coding RNA. RefSeq lists it as uncharacterized. Lineage: Eukaryota; Metazoa; Mollusca; Bivalvia; Ostreida; Ostreidae. The record is from RefSeq and is a predicted model, not a curated record. The transcript has 3 exons.